Molecule: ribosomal RNA, 467 nt
Filed under: uncultured bacterium
Lineage: Bacteria
Description: partial 16S ribosomal RNA
Rfam family: Bacterial small subunit ribosomal RNA
Source: RNAcentral
GACGAACGCUGGCGGCGUGCUUAACACAUGCAAGUCGAACGGAAAGGCCCUGCUUUUGUGGGGUGCUCGAGUGGCGAACGGGUGAGUAACACGUGAGUAACCUGCCCUUGACUUUGGGAUAACUUCAGGAAACUGGGGCUAAUACCGGAUAGGAGCUCCUGCUGCAUGGUGGGGGUUGGAAAGUUUCGGCGGUUGGGGAUGGACUCGCGGCUUAUCAGCUUGUUGGUGGGGUAGUGGCUUACCAAGGCUUUGACGGGUAGCCGGCCUGAGAGGGUGACCGGCCACAUUGGGAAUGAGAUACGGCCCAGACUCCUACGGGAGGCAGCAGUGGGGAAUAUUGCACAAUGGGCGGAAGCCUGAUGCAGCAACGCCGCGUGCGGGAUGACGGCCUUCGGGUUGUAAACCGCUUUCGCCUGAGACGAAGCGUGAGUGACGGUAAUGGGUAAAGAAGCACCGGCUAACUACGU